Molecule: ribosomal RNA, 101 nt
Filed under: Salvator merianae (Argentine black and white tegu)
Lineage: Eukaryota; Metazoa; Chordata; Lepidosauria; Squamata; Teiidae
Source: RNAcentral
GUUCAAGCUCAGCAAUCUGUCUGAUCUCAGGAAAUAGGCAGAUUUGGGCCCGGUUAAUACGUGGAUGGGAAACUAUCUAAGAAUAUCAGGUGUCAUAGACU